RNAcentral lists this ribosomal RNA (3204 nucleotides) under Eriocheir sinensis (Chinese mitten crab). RNAcentral's name for it is "eukaryotic LSU rRNA". The stretch from base 2469 to 3204 matches the Rfam family "Eukaryotic large subunit ribosomal RNA", at positions 2390 to 3250 of the family's 3401-position model. The record is from RNAcentral. Lineage: Eukaryota; Metazoa; Arthropoda; Malacostraca; Decapoda; Varunidae.
AAAAUGGCACUCAGGAGAAAAUUUACCUUCAUUCUAAUGCUGCUUAAGUGUGUGGUGGGACAUGCAACCUUCAUCUUACAGAGGUUGCGGAGGGGCAGCCCGUGAUAGUGAGUUUGCCUAUACCGACACUCAACAAGGAUUCCGUGCACUGAUCGUGAGCAUCAUACACAAGAUACGGGCAAAGAAAAGGGGGUAUUCCCUUUGCGAGCUUGUUUUCAUUAACGUUGAAUUGGUUUUAGCAAUUCAUACUAGUCACGAGAUUUAAAUCUGAUUGGCUGAGGAAGAGUUCCAACUUUUAAUAAUUACCACUGAAAAGAUAUUGUUCUUCAGAUAGUCAUCAGCUUCUGGUAUGGUGAGUCAAAGCGCAAAAUGAAUCUAUUUAAGAAAUGGCGUAAUAUUAUAGUUUUCCAAGGAGCAAUAAGGGCAGCUAUUAGGUUGUUCGGUUUAGCCUCAAUAAUUAAAUCAUUAUAAUGGGUCCGCGUCUAAGGGUAGUUGAAACUUUUAAUUUAUAGCGUUGGCAGCUGAAAUCAACAUUUUUGUCCCUAUAAAGACGUUUUAAGAAUCCUCUUAACACUUUGCGAUGAUGGUUACUGGCCGGAGUAGCAAACUACCCUCUGUCCGCCAGUGUGAAGCUCAUUUCUGGUAUUUUGCAAGUAGGGUGUUGGGAUCUCUGGAAGGAAAAUAGUAAUAUUAUGAAGUGGAGACAAAGUUGCUGAUGGGAAGGAGGCGUCGAAAAAUAGACAGGUACAAACUCGCAAAGUAGGCGUUGGAAAACAAGACCAUAUAGGAAUGCGUAAAGCGCGCUUCCGGCACGGUACCUCAUUUUUAAGAAACCUACGUUUUUCUUUUUAACUCUGCUGCGUCUUCACAAGACGAAGAGUCACACUUCACCAUCGACGUGAGAAGACGUGAAGUAGAUCUAGUGGCUCACCACCUGCUGCAGUUGUAGAGGUUACGUCUAAGAUUUGGCGUUUUUCUUCGUUGCCUGGCGAGUUUGCCCUUGGUGGAGGGAGGACGCGGAGAUCCAAUGGAUACUAUUGAGCAGAGGCGAAUAUAUUGAUUACCGCGAUACACAGCUCUAGAUACGUUUUUUUUUUUUUUAUUAUAUACUAUAUAUAUAUAUAUAUAACUAUAUUACUAUUAUACUUAGGAUUAUAGGUUAUAUUAUUUAUUCUUAUACUAUAUUGAUAUUUUACUAUUUAUAUAUUAUACUCGGGUAUAUAUAUAUAUUAUAGUGGAAUGAACGUAUAUAGUGGUUGAUAAAACUCCCAAGUAGAAGCGAAAGGAGAUAUACACCGCUGGCCGACCGGUCCGGCAAAUGAUGAUCUCCGGAACCUAGAUUCUAGUAAUUCAGCGAUCUAAGAUGUGCUAAUAGGCAUUUUUAAUUUGGCGCAUCUCUCCUUAGCAAAAAGUAAAAAAAAACAAAAUGACGGUGGGCUUCUCUCGGGGUGUCAACCGGUAGUAAGGUGGCCGAUUGCUCCGGUCGCUAAUUACUACAGCUGGAGCCGAAGUGUACUCUUGUGAUGGCUUGGCUGGGAUGUGUCAAUUUUAGGAAAUUUUGGACCUCUUUGGGGAAUUUCACUGCGGUGAAUGCAUUGUGGCCGGGGAGCCCAUGCCAUCGGCGUGUGAAGGAGCGCCAGCGGAGCGAGUUCAGCUCCGAAGGUUUCGGACAACUAUGUUUGUUGCAACGUUGCGCAGCAAUGUCGUACAACCUCUUUAUGUUUUUGCCGAUUUUUUCGCUUUAAAGGCUGUCGUUCUCCUACACGCAAUGGGCUGGCGUCAUGUAUAGUAUUGUUUUAAAAGGUUAAUAAUUUGUGUUUCUGGAAUGUUACGAUGUUCUAGUACUUUUAAUGACUUGGCAAUCGCUGCUCGUGAGUGGUUUGAUGGAUUCAGACAGCUUUGUGGCAGAUGUCGUGGUCAGCCUCUUAUAUUUGCCGAUUUCCGACCAACAAGACGGUCUCCUCAUUCACUUAGGUGUGGACGUUUAAUCUUAUAGUUUAUUCGUUUGAAAUGGGUUUAAUUACUGGUGUUCUGUCCUUUGCAAUAGUUUAGGAUGGGAAACCGAGAAUUACGAAUGCCUCUGAGUCGAUAGCGGUUUCUGGUGACACGCAGGUUCGGAAACCAGAGAGUUACACAUUAUCGUACUUAAACAAUUGCAUUGAUCAGUUCCAGGGCAAACUCUCCUACCUCACUACAGUAACGAGAUUCCGUUUAAAGUUAUGUGUUUAAAACGUGACUUAUAGCCCGCCAGCGGAUCCGCUCCGAGGACAAUUUAUCAGGUAUGUGUUUGGUUUGCGAUAGCUGUGAGUCAGAAAAACCGGAAAAUACAAUGUGCUGAGUGGCUGGUACGAUAAUCUGGUAAACGCUGGUUCGGACUCGACACGGGAGGGCCGCGGCGGUGAUGGUUUAGGGGGAAAUCGUCACGAGCCACGACUUCAUUGUACAUAGUUCACGCGUUGCAGCCGCAGAGCCCCGGCAGGAAGGCCCAGACGUGUGUUGUUGGUCACGACUGGUAGCAGUUUCACCCUAAGGGGAGGCAGGUCGCUGUCAAACGAUUUAACGCAAGGGUUGUUUCCUAAGGGCCAGCUCAGCGUGGACCAGAAACCUUCGCGUAGAGCAAAAGGGCAAAUGCUGGCUUGAUCCUGAUUUUCAGUACGAAUACGGACUGCGGAAAGCAGGGCCUAUCGAUCCUUUUGACUUUAUGAGUUUUAAGCAAGAGGUGUCAGAAAAGUUACACAGGGAUAACUGGCUUGUGGCGGCCAAGCGUUCAUAGCGACGUCGCUUUUUGAUCCUUCGAUGUCGGCUCUUCCUAUCAUUGUGAAGCAGAAUUCACCAAGCGUUGGAUUGUUCACCCAUAAAAGGGAACGUGAGCUGGGUUUAGACCGUCGCGAGACAGGUUAGUUUUACCCUACUGUUGCAGUUGUGUCGUUGAUACAGCAGUCCUGCUCAGUACGAGAGGAACGGCAGGUCCGGACAUAUGGUUCCGCUCUUGGUCGAUCGGCAGUGGAGCGAGGCUACGUCCGUGGGAUUAUGCCUGAAAGCCUCUAAGGCAGAAUCCCGGCUGAUGACCGAUACCGCGUACGGGACAUCGGGACCAUUGAAUUUUCGAGAGAUUCGCUCCCCGCUCGUUCGCGGGGGGGCUAGAAGAUGGACCCGUGCAGAGGGAACUCGGGUGCCUCGACAAACAGGUUCAGGCUCUCCCCC